RNAcentral lists this ribosomal RNA (484 nucleotides) under uncultured bacterium. RNAcentral's name for it is "partial 16S ribosomal RNA". It matches the Rfam family "Bacterial small subunit ribosomal RNA", at positions 30 to 507 of the family's 1533-position model. The record is from RNAcentral.
AUUGAACGCUGGCGGCAUGCCUAACACAUGCAAGUCGAGCGGAUGAACGAAGCGUUCUCUUGUCUUCAGCUGCGGACGGGUGAGUAAUUCCUAGGAAUCUGCCUUGUAUAGAGGGAUAACAUACCUAAACGGCCCCGAAUACAGCAUACGUCCUUAUGGAGAAAGUGGUGGAUCUUCGGACCUCACCCUAUCUGAUGACCCUAGGUCGUAUUAGCUAGUUGGUGUGGUAAAGGCUUACCAAGGCGACGAUCCGUAACUGGUCUGAGAGGAUGAUCAGUCACACUGGAACUGAGACACGGUCCAGACUCCUACGGGAGGCAGCAGUAGGGAAUCUUGCACAAUGGGCGAAAGCCUGAUGCAGCAAUGCCGCGUGAGUGAAGAAGGUCUUCGGAUCGUAAAGCACUUUUAGUUGGGAGGAAGGGAAGUAAGUGAAUAUAUUGCCGUCUUGACGUUACCAACAGAAAAAGCAACGGCUAACUUCGUG